AGAGUUUGAUCAUGGCUCAGGACAAACGCUGGCGGCGUGCGUAAAACAUGCAAGUCGCACGGCCCCUUCGGGGGCAGUGGCAGACGGCUGAGUAACGCGUAGGAACCUGCCCCGGGGUGGGGGACAACCUCCCGAAAGGGGGGCUAAUACCGCAUACGGUCCCACUUUGGCGGGAAGAAAGCCCUUGGGUGCCCUGGGAGGGGCCUGCGUCCGAUUAGCUGGUUGGUGGGGUAAUGGCCUACCAAGGCACCGAUCGGUAGCUGGUCUGAGAGGAUGAUCAGCCAGACUGGGACUGGGACACGGCCCAGACUCCUACGGGAGGCAGCAGUUAGGAAUUUUGGGCAAUGGCCGCAAGGCUGACCCAGCAACGCCGCGUGGGGGACGAAGGCUCUCGGGUUGUAAACCCCUUUUGGCGGGGACGAUGAUGACGGUACCCGCCGAAUAAGCCCCGGCUAACUACGUGCCAGCAGCCGCGGUA
RNAcentral lists this ribosomal RNA (478 nucleotides) under uncultured Chloroflexota bacterium. RNAcentral's name for it is "bacterial SSU rRNA". It matches the Rfam family "Bacterial small subunit ribosomal RNA", at positions 8 to 522 of the family's 1533-position model. The record is from RNAcentral. Lineage: Bacteria; Bacillati; Chloroflexota.